Molecule: microRNA precursor, 52 nt
Filed under: Pan troglodytes (chimpanzee)
Lineage: Eukaryota; Metazoa; Chordata; Mammalia; Primates; Hominidae
Description: mir-1302 microRNA precursor family
Rfam family: mir-1302 microRNA precursor family
Source: Rfam by way of RNAcentral
UUUUUAGUGUGAGUAUGUUUCAUGUAAUAUUUGGGAUAUACUUGUACUAAAA